AUUGAACGCUGGCGGCAUGCCUUACACAUGCAAGUCGAACGGCAGCACGGGAGCUUGCUCCUGGUGGCGAGUGGCGAACAGGUGCGUAAUACAUCGGAACGUACCCAGUAGUGGGGGAUAACGCACCUAAAGGUGCGCUAAUACCGCAUACGACAUACGGGUGAAAGCGGGGGACCGUAAGGCAUCGCGCUAUUGGAGCGUCCGAUGGCUGAUUAGCGAGUUGGCGGGGUAAAAGCCCACCAAGGCGACGGUCAGUAGCUGGUCUUCGAGGACGAUCAGCCACACUGGGACUGAGACACGGCUCCGACUCCUACGGGAGGCAGCAGUGGGGAAUUUUGGACAAGGGGGGCAACCCUGAUCCAGCAAUGCCGCGUGUGCGAAGAAGGCCUUCGGGUUGUAAAGCACUUUUGUCAGGGAAGAAAUCUUUCAGGCUAAUACCCUUGGAAGGAUGACGGUACCAGAAGAAUAAGCACCGGCUAACUACGUGCCAGCCGCCGCCGUAA
Molecule: ribosomal RNA, 503 nt
Filed under: uncultured bacterium
Lineage: Bacteria
Description: partial 16S ribosomal RNA
Rfam family: Bacterial small subunit ribosomal RNA
Source: RNAcentral